UACGUAGGGUCCGAGCGUUGUCCGGAAUUACUGGGCGUAAAGAGCUCGUAGGUGGUUUGUCGCGUUGUUCGUGAAAACUCACAGCUCAACUGUGGGCGUGCGGGCGAUACGGGCAGACUAGAGUACUGCAGGGGAGACUGGAAUUCCUGGUGUAGCGGUGAAAUGCGCAGAUAUCAGGAGGAACACCGAUGGCGAAGGCAGGUCUCUGGGCAUUAACUGACGCUGAGGAGCGAAAGCAUGGGGAGCGAACAGG
This 253-nucleotide ribosomal RNA is filed under the name uncultured bacterium. RNAcentral's name for it is "partial 16S ribosomal RNA". It matches the Rfam family "Bacterial small subunit ribosomal RNA", at positions 524 to 776 of the family's 1533-position model. The record is from RNAcentral.